RNAcentral lists this long non-coding RNA (254 nucleotides) under Elaeis guineensis (African oil palm). Its description in RNAcentral is "long non-coding RNA (EGUI_LNC072366)". Lineage: Eukaryota; Viridiplantae; Streptophyta; Magnoliopsida; Arecales; Arecaceae. The record is from RNAcentral.
AAUCGUGCUCAACUCAAACAGUCCUGUGACUCCUCACUAGGACUACUCUGGCCAAGAUUUUGCUAAAUUGAAACACGACUGUACACAGCUCCUGAACUGGAGUGGUCAAUCCCAUCUUGACACACGCACCGACAAGUCAAGUACUUGACUACACCCAGCAUCCUUCCAUCACUGAAUUAGAAAUUCAGGUAGUCCAGUGCCUAAGUGCAGUGAGUUGCUUGCAAGUCACCAUGGUGGUCUCAGGUCGGAGGGAC